Molecule: long non-coding RNA, 638 nt
Organism: Mauremys mutica (yellowpond turtle)
Lineage: Eukaryota; Metazoa; Chordata; Testudines; Geoemydidae
Exons: 7
Source: RefSeq, a predicted model, not a curated record
GGCAUGAAUUGCAGCAGUGAGUGAAUGGCAGCUCUGUGAUUUGAAGGAGAGGACAGGGAAGAGAAGGAUCCUGGAUUCCUGAAAGGACUCUGACCUAUGACCAAAGAAUGCUCAGGAGAUCGGAAGCCUAUGAAACUAGGAGAAAUAGGGUUAAGCUCUGCUGAUUGGAGAGUUUCCAGAUACUCUAGAGAGAAAGAGAGAGGUGCUGAUAUUAACUCCAGAAUGGACUUGUCAUCAAUACGUGGCUAAAGUGCAUUCCACCAGCAUCUCAAAGACUCAGAGCCAGUCUCACUCCAGGACUCGGCAACGCAGGCUUAUUAAUGACACUUCUGAGGAAAGUGAUGUGCUUGACAUUUCCUGCACACCACAGGAGUCUUCAGUCACUUUGCAACUGAUUGUACAACAUUAAAGAUGUAUUGGAUUUUAUCACUUGAAGCAGCUUACAUUUCUUGACCUGCAAAGUAUAUAGCCAAAAAGCUCAAAUGUUGAUAUUGAAUCCUACGUCAGGGUAGCCUCAUAGGACUUUUCCAAAAGAAGAAUGAAGGACUUGGUGCAGCCCAUCUUGAAUAGCUAAAGGAUUUGGCAGCAAAAAAAAAAGUUUUUAUAAGUGAAAUAAACAAACAAUAAAAGAAAGAGAC